Molecule: ribosomal RNA, 291 nt
Filed under: uncultured bacterium
Lineage: Bacteria
Description: partial 16S ribosomal RNA
Rfam family: Bacterial small subunit ribosomal RNA
Source: RNAcentral
GACGAACGCUGGCGGCGUGCUUAACACAUGCAAGUCGAACGUGAUCCGGGGCUUCGGCUCCGGUGAAAGUGGCGGACGGGUGAGUAACGCGUGGGAACCUGCCCAGUGGUAGGGGAGUAACCGCGGGAAACGUGCGGCUAAUAACCCUACUGCGCCCUACUGGGGCGAAAGAUUUAUCGCCAUUGGAGGGGCCGCGUCGGAUUAGGUAGUUGGUGAGGUAACGGCUCACCAAGCCUUCGAUCCGUAGCUGGUCNGAGAGGAUGAUCAGCCACACCUGGGACUGAGACACGG